Molecule: ribosomal RNA, 525 nt
Filed under: Margaritifera togakushiensis
Lineage: Eukaryota; Metazoa; Mollusca; Bivalvia; Unionida; Margaritiferidae
Description: partial 16S rRNA
Rfam family: Bacterial large subunit ribosomal RNA (bases 137-489)
Source: RNAcentral
UAUAGAGCGUGAGCGUGCUAAGGUAGCGUAUAUAUAGCUUUUUAUUGGAGGCCAGUGAUGGCAACACGGAAACCCCUGUAUGCAUGUAUGAUGUGAUGAAAACUUUAUGUUUUGGGUGGAAAAAGCCCAAAUAAUUGAGGAAGACAAAAAGACCCCGCGGAGCUUUACUUUGUCAAGCCAAACAAAUCUGCCAGAUCGGUUAUGCUAAUAAGUUUGUGGUUGGGGCCAACCCUGGAACCAUUAAAGCUUCCAGUAUUAACCAAGAAGCACAUAAAAAACAUCUUCGGACUAAAAAGAAGCUACCCCGGGGGAUAACCAGCGGUAAUCCAACUUAAGAGUACGCAUCGAAAGUUGGGUUUGCGACCUCGAUGUUGGCUUAAGGUAAUUCACAUGAGCGCAGCCGCUAUGAGAGAAUAGUCUGUUCGACUAUUCAUACCCUUACAUGAGCUGAGUUAAGACCGGCGCAAGCUAGGUUGGUUCUAUCUCCUCUACAUCACAUCUACUCUUAUGUACGAAGGACCCGUA